Long non-coding RNA from Triticum dicoccoides, 867 nucleotides. RefSeq lists it as uncharacterized. Lineage: Eukaryota; Viridiplantae; Streptophyta; Magnoliopsida; Poales; Poaceae. The transcript is spliced from 4 exons. The record is from RefSeq and is a predicted model, not a curated record.
AGUAAAUUUCGCUUGAUCUCUCUCAAUCAUGUACCAAUGGAGCGUCGUCUCACUGAAAUCCAGAUGGGUGAUCUGAUUUGUUGAAAGCAGUGCCUUGAUUUCAUCUUUCGCAGCAGCGCCUCGUUGUGAGGGCAUACUCAAUCUACCACUAACGCCGCCGGUGGCACUAUCCAACUACAGCAGCUCAAGGAUCUAGAUCUAGAUGGGGUGUCACUCCAAAGUUUGGCUUGGCUCAUUACUAUGUUGGAAGGUCAUUAUGGAGUCUUAUUGCCUGGAGCUGGUAAAUCUGUUGAAGAUGCGGACCACGAACAGGGCUGCAAUUCUUCAUGUUCUUAUGCAAAUCAGAAGCUGCUUUUGACAUUGACAAGGCAGCUGCAGUGAAGAAUGACAUAUCAAGAUUACUUACAUACAUAUUGUCAGGCCACAUAAGCCUCUUCCGCGACCACUCAUUGGCAGAUUCAGGACCAUCUUUCAUGCUCCAACAAUAGUUUGCCUUUGAUCUUCAAAUCGAUUAGUUGAAGGCAUGACCGGAUAAUCUUCAGAGUAGGAGUCAUCUUCAUAUGUCUCCUAGUUGGCAGCUCAUGAAACUGAUAAUGUCACCUCCCAUACUAGUACAGAUCAUGUCUGGUUGUCUCAGACUCCGAUUUUUCUGGAACCAUGUAAUCAGCAAGAAAGUACACUUGGUAACAAAAUUUAGUAUGCGGCUUGUUUGUAGUUUAGAAGGGCGGUUGCUGUACAAUUGAUGUGUAUGCUUGUGAUGUCUCAAUGUAAAAGAUGUGAUGUUCUUCCAUGGAAGCUUCUAAAGAUCUUUGGUUUAGUUGCAAAACAACAUCUGCUUCUCUGAUACUUUUUUUAGGAAAGAGGCCA